CACAUAUGUAUAGUGAAUUCGUACUUUGUCACUUCAAACGAACUUUUGCAGGCAUGAUAGGGGAGAAUUUUAGUAGUAAUUAGCUGGCAGACUUUGGCUGAUGAGAAAUAAGACCCCUAUUUGGCACUAAUUUCGAAACCAGUACCAAGUUGACCACCAUUUACUUGUUCUGACCCA
This is a long non-coding RNA of Octopus sinensis (East Asian common octopus), 177 nucleotides long. RefSeq lists it as uncharacterized. The transcript has 3 exons. NCBI's taxonomy places the organism in Eukaryota, Metazoa, Mollusca, Cephalopoda, Octopoda, Octopodidae. The record is from RefSeq and is a predicted model, not a curated record.